UGGGGUUAGACUCAGUGGUAAAGUGCUUGCUUAGCAUGCAUGAGGCACUGGGUUCGAUCCUCAGCACCACAU
This 72-nucleotide transfer RNA is filed under the name Marmota marmota marmota (Alpine marmot). It matches the Rfam family "tRNA". Rfam says of the family: Transfer RNA (tRNA) molecules are approximately 80 nucleotides in length. Their secondary structure includes four short double-helical elements and three loops (D, anti-codon, and T loops). RNAcentral also lists the same sequence under 1 other name. Lineage: Eukaryota; Metazoa; Chordata; Mammalia; Rodentia; Sciuridae. The record is from Rfam by way of RNAcentral.